Molecule: ribosomal RNA, 251 nt
Filed under: uncultured bacterium
Lineage: Bacteria
Description: partial 16S ribosomal RNA
Rfam family: Bacterial small subunit ribosomal RNA
Source: RNAcentral
ACGUAGGGGGCAAGCGUUAUCCGGAAUUAUUGGGCAUAAAGAGCAUGUAGGCGGUAUUUUAAGUCAUGUGUAAAAGACUCUGGCUCAACCAGGGUAUGCGCAUGAUACUGAAGUACUAGAGAUCAGUAGAGGAAAGCGGAACUCACAGUGUAGCGGUGAAAUGCGUAGAUAUUGUGAGGAACACCAGUUGCGAAGGCGGCUUUCUGGACUGAAUCUGACGCUCAAGUGCGAAAGCGUGGGGAGCAAACGGG